AGGACGAACGCUGGCGGCGUGCUUAACACAUGCAAGUGGAGCGACGAACCAGGGCUUGUCCUGGGGCAGAGCCGCGAACGGGUGAGUAACACGUGGGUUACCUGCCUCGAUGACCGGGACAACCCGAGGAAAACUCGGGCUAAUACCGGAUGUGCCCGCAAGGGGAAAGGAAGCUUCGGCCUCCGCAUCGAGAUGGGCCCGCGGCCCAUUAGCUUGUUGGUGAGGUAACGGCUCACCAAGGCUUCGAUGGGUAGCUGGUCUGAGAGGACGAUCAGCCACACUGGGACUGAGACACGGCCCAGACUCCUACGGGAGGCAGCAGUGGGGAAUCUUGCGCAAUGCGCGAAAGCGUGACGCAGCAACGCCGCGUGGGGGAAGAAGGCUUUCGGGUUGUAAACCCCUUUCAGUUGGGACGAAGCUUCGACGGUGAAUAGCCGGACGGAGUGACGGUACCUUCACAAGAAGCACCGGCUAACUACGUGCCAGCAGCCGC
Molecule: ribosomal RNA, 493 nt
Filed under: uncultured bacterium
Lineage: Bacteria
Description: SSU rRNA
Rfam family: Bacterial small subunit ribosomal RNA
Source: RNAcentral